GAUAUCUGUUUGAUUGUCUAUCCUAUGGAUAACCGUGGGAAAUCUAGAGCUAAUACAUGCAGUUUAUGGUCGGGCUUGCUCGGCCAAGCAUUUAUUAGUUUUAACCAAUUACUGCGCAAGCAGUAAGGUGAAUCUAGAUAACUUUGCUGAUCGCACGGCUUUGCCGGCGACGUUUCAAUUGAGUUUCUGCCCUAUCAAUUUGUUGGUAAGGUAUUGGCUUACCAAGGUUGUAACGGGUAACGGGGAAUCAGGGUUCGAUUCCGGAGAGGGAGCUUGAGAAUCGGCUACCACAUCCAAGGAAGGCAGCAGGCGCGCAAAUUACCAAAUCUAGACAGUAGGAGGUGGUGAAGAGAAGUACUAAGUGGUGGUUAUUUACUACCAGCUUGGAAUGGACGUAAUUUAAGCAAUUCGAUGAGUAACUACUGGAGGGCAAGUCCUGGUGCCAGCAGCCGCGGUAAUUCCAGCUCCAGUGGCGUGAUUUAAAGUUGCUGCGUUUAAAACGCUCGUAGUUGGAUCAAGCGGUGUCAGUUUGUAGUCUGCGAUUAGUAUCUGACUGCUUCAGUCGAUGCU
RNAcentral lists this ribosomal RNA (570 nucleotides) under Myxobolus pseudodispar. Its description in RNAcentral is "SSU rRNA". It matches the Rfam family "Eukaryotic small subunit ribosomal RNA", at positions 112 to 694 of the family's 1831-position model. The record is from RNAcentral. Lineage: Eukaryota; Metazoa; Cnidaria; Myxozoa; Bivalvulida; Myxobolidae.